Aegilops tauschii subsp. strangulata is the source of this 4280-nucleotide non-coding RNA. The record is from RefSeq and is a predicted model, not a curated record. Lineage: Eukaryota; Viridiplantae; Streptophyta; Magnoliopsida; Poales; Poaceae.
AGAAUUGAACGACAAAAAACCUACGAAGAAAAACCAACGAAAAAAACCCUCGAGCUCCGACGGGAACGAGGCUCCCCUCGAUCUCAAACAACGCUAGGGUUUGCCCAGCCGCCACACUCCGCGCUGCCGCCCAAGGCCCGCUCCGCCCCCACCGCUCCCCGCAACGCCACUGCCGGAGGGCCGGCCGGCGAAGCCGCGCCGCGCCCAGGGACAGAAGCGGCGGGGCGGUUCCGUCUCCCUACCUCCUGCCAGAGCCCCCACCCCACCAUACGUAGAUCUGGCCGGGAGCCCCGCCGCCGAUGAGGGCCACACCGGAGAUCUCGCGCAACCUACCUGCCUCCUGUUUCCUCUCCGUUCUCCUCCUUCUCUCUCCAACCCUUGUUCAUCCGCGGCCGUAGCUCGCCCUGAUUCAUGGCCCUCUCCUUCCGCCAACUCUGGUCCGUCACCAGUCGUCUGUGGCGCGAGCGUCGCGCCUCCUCCUCAACCUCCUCGAUCCGGGAUGCCCUAACUGCACUGCGCACUUGCGCCUCGCGAGCCAUGGCCACCUUUUGCCGAGCUGCGGGAUCGACGUCUGACCGCCACCACGACCGGCCUCUUGCGAAGGUCCCGGUCGCCGUCUCCUGUGCCUUUGGACCUUGGGAGCGACUGGGUGAUUAUAUGCCAGAGUUGAUUUGGGAUGUAGAGAUUAAAGAACAGCAAAAUCAUAAGCCAUCGGGUCAGGACGUCAGGUUCAGAAUUGUCUUGGCAUCUUCCAGUGUGGCGACAAUGUUGAUUGUCGGGAUUUGAAGAUAAGUGUGCUCCAUACCGUGGCUGAGCCUGUCGGUUUCGCACAGUGGCUGCACGACACCUCAUGGAUCAGAAUUGUUGGUUGUACAGUUAGUAUGCACGCAUGCGUCCCUGAUUUGGAGCAUGCCUCUGGCCUGGUAGGAUUCUCGCUCUGCCCCGACCUCAAGGGCGUUCCUCUAUCUGUGUCGUGCUCGGGACCAUGCACUAAUGCAGGUGCGGUUCUUCAGCUUUUCUUUGUCUUUUUCUUGGUAUGUAUAUCUCUCAAUCUUGUGAGCCGUGAUUUUCAUGCUGCCAUGUAUGCCAUUGUGUCCUGUAUAAUGAUUCUUCUUAUUAUUUUUGAAUGGCAUAAUUAUUCUUAUUGAGGCACUGCCGCUGCCUAAUUUGCUUAUAGAAAUAACAUACUAAUUAAUACAGGGAGAGAGUACGAUUUUUUGACACAAUCUGCAGUACCCGUGAGCCUGCCCAUAGGUAGAUAUGGAUACAUUUUGUAGCUUCCAUUCUUGUUUUCUCUCAUUAAAAUUAUGGAUUUGGAAACUAAUCAUGGAGUGUCUAGAUUGCCUGCUAUAUUACCAAGUGCGUUGAAGGAAAAGCUGCUGCCACUGUUGAUGACCACUCUAGGUGAUAUAAUUCAUGUUUGCUUUGUUGUUUCAGUAACUUCCUGUAGCAUAUUGGUUCCAUCUUUUUUUUUGCAUCAUGGUACAUUAUUCUUAUCUUGAUAUAUAUCAUUUGGUCAACUGAAGAUUUGAGUGCAGAGUAGAAUUCUUGGUUGAUUUUAGAAUUUCGUUGUUGAUUAGUUGGCCAACAGACUUUUAUGAAAUUCAAGGCGUCAUUUAGUGUACUAUAUGUCAUAUUUGUCUUAUUUCUAUACUCACAAUAUUUCCGCAUCAUCUGAACAAAUGAUGCUAAAUUGAUAUAAUCAUUUUGGAUCAGUGUCAUCUUCUCAAUGCUGAACAGCCAAAAUAUAUACAUAGUGAGCAUUCCGCCGCACAUGCUCAUACGUCAUAUUUAUGUACUGUUUAACAGGGCAAAAAUUGGUCAAAUGUUUAAACAUUUCUACUGUUUAACACAACCAAAGUAUAUACAUAAUGAUCAGUCCUCCGCUGCAUGUUAGAUCCAGCCUCCCUCCCUUGACACCAUUCUUCUUACUGAUUAUUAUUUAUUUUAAAAAUAUCUUUAGUUUUAUUUUCUAGCUAUUUCAAUUCAUUUGUAUAUGGUUAGUUCCAUCGCACUACGAGGAUGAUCCAUGGCUGGUCGCGGAUGAUCACCUGCGAGGACGAUUCAUGGCCGGUUGGGGAUGGUCAGUUCCAUCACACUGCGAGGAGAUGAUUCAUGGCCAGUCGGGGAUGGUCACCUGCGAUUUUUGUACCCACAGCCCGAAGGCCAACCUUAAUACUGGACCUCGAAAGGGGCAUGUGGCCAACCAUGCCGGAGGACGCAGAGUUGUUGUUUGGGAAUGUUAUCAUCAGAGGACCCAAGAAGCAACCCACCACGGAUGCAUGGACCAACCACGCAAGUCCAUUCUUGCAAUCCAUCUGUGGCGAGGGUUCAUGACAGACAAGCCAAUAGAUUUGGGGGUCCACUUCCCGGUGAAACAAAUGUUCAUUGCGGACAAUACGAAGACGAUGAUUGGUACAAUGAGAUAUUUUCUGGCUCCGCCACUGGUUCAUACUCGUACCACACCGUGGGAAGGUUAUGGCCAAGAAUGAGCUGGAGGUUAUUGCUUUGGCGACGCUGGAGGCCGUUCACGCGAAGAGGAGAUGUGCCUGGUGAUGAGAAGUCUUAGACCACCGGUGAGUUUUGCUUCCUAUCAAUUCAGCAGUGUGUGUACAUGUUUAGAAUUGUUGGCUACAAACACUUGAAUUAUCUCCAAUCAUGUACUUCAGGUUCUACCAUCUUCCAUAUUUACCAUGUUUUGUCACUUAACAAAAUUUACAUAACUAUUUUGUGUAUGUAUGCAAAAUUCUGGUUUAGAAACUUAAUGCAGAAUUAUGAACAAAAUUAUCAUUUAGUACUAAGAAUUUACAUUUAUCAUAAGAAAUGGCAAACUCAUAGGUAUUUCAAUCUAGAAAUUACAAUGCAAUGUUCAGGGAAGAUGGUGAGCUUCUAAUUAGCGGUCACUUUAUUCUGUUGAAACCGAAAGAUAUGGAUGAGCCAUGAUAAUGAGUGUUAGGGGAUUGGAUGGCACAGCGUAAAAAGAUAUCAUUUUUACUAAAUAACUUCAUUUUCCGCAGAAACUUCCUUGCACUAAACUUACAAUAUUGGCUUCUCCAGAUGUACAUAAGCUAUUAGCUCUUAGCUCUAUUUAAUUCCACUCAUAUUUACGAAAGUGCUCUUUUGAUCCCGAGUUCACAAUCUCCUUGAUGAACAGUAAAAUCCAAAAAAUUAGUUAAAGAAUUCAAAAAAAUUCUGGAUUUAAACAUCAAUGAAAGUUUGAACUUCCUGCAAAUUUUGGUGAUGAAAUAACAUUGGUGGAUGUCUUGACAAAAAGAAAAAAAAUCGAUGCUCCAAAAUGCUUCCGAGAGCAAAUCUUUUGGAUCGUCGAUUUUUUUUGCCCAAACCUACACGAAUGUCAUUUCAUCAAAAGCAUUUGCAAGAAGUUAAAACUUUCAUAAUUUUUUAUUAAAAAAUCAGAUUUUUUAAUAUAUUUUUACUGUGUUUUCGGAUUUUAUAGUUCAUCAAGGAGCAUGUGAGCUCCUGUUCAAAUACUACACGUCUUCAUAUUUAUUCCUAUUCUCCUUUUGUCAUUUUUUACAUCUAGGCAUAUAGUGUUUUGCUGUGUCUCAAAGUUUUACCUUUUUAAAAGUGAUAUGUGUUUAUAUUUUGUGGAUGUUUUUGUUGCUGGUAUAUAUUCUCAAGUGAUAAUCAUCAUAUCUUGUCAAUCUCUAUGUUAUGAGAGGUAUAAAAAUAUAAUCGGAUCUAAAUUUGAUAGUAUGCUACCUUGGCCAAUAUACUGCAUCAUGUGAAGGCUGCAAGGUUGCACCUUGGAGUUCAAAAUUUGGUGUCUUCGCAUUGAAGGAUCCAAUCCAUCGACUUUGCAGUUUGAACAUGUCACUUGUGAUGGGGAGAGGAAGAGAUGACUUGCAUACACUGGACAAUGAGUGUGUUAGUAGCGUGGUGGCUCAGGACUGUACAAGUUGUAGUAGCCCCUUCCCUUAUAAAUGGUUUCUUUUGAUUGGAAGCACCUUAUAAUUAGCUAAUAUAUGGAUUUCAUUUACAUCGUCUGUCCAAGUAUGCGAGGCCCAUGAGACGGGCAUUAAUCACUUCUCUUUUUUGUCAGUAUUUUGAUAGGGGACCUAUGUAUAUGGGAAGGAGCACCAAUUUAAGGAUCCUCAUGUUUUCUUACUUUUCAACACUUAUUUGUGAUUUUGUUCACAAGUUUUCAAUUUCAUUCUGUAGAAUGAAGAUAAUAUUUUUUUUGUAUUUUUUGUCCAUGUAGAGGAUACAAGACAUCAUAUUAAGUAAUCAAUUAAUGAAAUAAUGAAUUAAUUUAUGUA